CCAGCAGCCGCGGUAAUUCCAGCUCUAAUAGCGUAUAUUAAAGUUGUUGCAGUUAAAAAGCUCGUAGUUGGACUUUGAGGUCGGGCGUGCUGUCGGGCUUUGCUCGGACGGCGCUACCGGCUUCUUUCUUCUGGGGACCACGCUCUCCUUCACUGGGGGGCGCUGGGACGCAGAUCGUUUACUUUGAAAAAAUUAGAGUGUUCAAAGCAGGCCAUCGCUUGAAUACAUUAGCAUGGAAUAAUGGAAUAGGACUCCGGUCUUAUUUUGUUGGUUUCUAGGACCGAAGUAAUGAUUAAUAGGGAUAGUUGGGGGCGUUUGUAUUCCGUUGUCAGAGGUGAAAUUCUUGGAUUUACGGAAGACAAACUUCUGCGAAAGCAUUCGCCAAGGAUGUUUUCGUUAAUCAAGAACGAAAGU
This 414-nucleotide ribosomal RNA is filed under the name uncultured eukaryote. RNAcentral describes it as "SSU rRNA". It matches the Rfam family "Eukaryotic small subunit ribosomal RNA", at positions 567 to 990 of the family's 1831-position model. The record is from RNAcentral.